UGGAGAGGCAUGGCAAAAUCCCUGCCUGUAUACUGAAUGGAAUGCAGUUGAUUAACAGAUCAUUUCUACAUAUAACGAACAUGGCAUGUGCUUUUACAAUCAUGCAGUGUUGGAAGCAGAGCAUGAGGGAGAAAGGAUAGUUCCAGUCCCGUGCUUCUGGAUUUCUUUAUCUUAGGGUCAUCAGACCAGGGCCAGGUUGCCACAAAGUGCUCAAUGACCCAUGAGAAAUGAAUCAUGUCUUCAUUCCAGGGCGUAAUAUAUGCCUUACAUCACUAUUAGAAGCAAGCAGCUCUGUGGUUGCUGGCUCCAACACGGAUUAAGGUCAAAAGUGGCCCUGGAGACCAAAUUCCCUAGUGAGGCUUUGCCACACAACUCCACGUAUCCUUUGCUUCUGAAUUCUUUCUUCUCCUAGCAACCACUACUAAACACCAAGCUUCCCAGGCUGGUAUUAUGUCCACAUAAAGUUUAUUCUUCUCCCAAAGAACUGUUGAACUACAAGUGAGACUCUUAUUAUGAGUUAAAUUGUGUUACACCCAACUUGUUGGUGAGAGUCCAGUUUCUUUUUAUUAUACUCCAAAUUUGUUGUAAUGACGAUUGCUUGAAAUAAAUGGGCAAUUGACAGGGGCUUAGACUUAACAGGGAUGCUUAAGUGAUUUUUAGAGUGGCAGUAUUUGCUGUAACAAAAUUUGACCUAUAGGUUGGUUAUUAGUUUUAUUCAUCACAUCAGAAACUUGGCACACAUCCAUUGUUCAUGUCAUUAUAUGCAAAGCAUUGUAGCAUGAAAUUCACUUCUAAAGCUAUGGAAAAAAAAAAAGCUAAACACAAGAGGCUCAUAGAACAAUAAAACCUCAGGCAGGGGGAUAUUUUGUUUUGUUUAGCUAGAUGUUCUGGGGAGUGAAAGGUUUAUUCCUUCUAACCCCUAAAAGGUGUUUGUUCUGUUGUUUACAAAUUCUUUCCUUCGGAAUGUAGUUUCUUUGGGUGUGGCCCUCGUGGUCAUUUUGAAUAUAGUUAUGUUGUCCUAUGAUACAAUGUGGCUUUUAUGCGUUGAGAUGUGUAUAGAGCUGUUUUGGCACUAAACGCCUCCCUAAAACACUGCUUUUGGAGAUCUUCAGUCUACUUAACAUGUUUUGUCCUCUCUAUUACUGCCAGCUCUUUUUCUUUCUUGACGUUAAGUUUCCUCUAAAAGUUUGCUUCUCACCCUUAAAUUUAAUCUGCUCUAGGCUUGGCAACCAGAUGGCAAACAUUCAGAAUUUUGUGUGAGGUAGGAAUAAACAGGUUCUAAGUGGGUGCUCGAUGGGUAGAUGUAUGACCUUUCUCUCAGAUUUUGUUUCUUACCAUUUAUUUCAGCCAGUCAGAAGCCUUGUUUCUUAGUUCCCGGUUCUCAGUCAAUUUUGAAUGGGUCCAGCAGAGGUUCCAGAUUUUUCUAGUUCUGUCUCAAUUACUCAUUGCCAAACCACUUGUUUGGAUUUCAUGUUUGGGAAAUAGGGAUACGUGACACCAAAGGUAAAGAAAGGGCUGAAUCCCUAAAAUGGUGUGAAGCUGUGGGCCAUUUUUGUAAGGUAAGUGGUACCCUGUGGCCGUGAUGUCUGAACUCCAUAAAUGAACUAGGAAACAGACAAGCUUUGUUUGCAGUCCUUUUCCAAUACUACAAAAGGUGGCCCAAUGUCAAGCUGUUGAAGAUGCUGUCAAGAUGUUUGCGGAUUCAGUGUCAGAGCUGCCUGACUUUUGAGAUUCCAAGUCGAUGGCAAGAGAAACCAUAACUUUGCGUCUCCUGGUGAUUUCAUUAUUUGUGGCCUUGGAAUAGAGAAGAUCAAGCACGUCUAAUAGUUCCCUCCUUUCAAAAGUGCAGUUUCAGAGCUCUCCUAAGCCACUCCAGAGAAGUCAGGAGUAAAUGAGACCCCCACAUGCAAUAUUCAAAACACCCUGAUCUCCACAUUACCACAGUGAAGAACGCAGACCAUCAUGAAUAUUUACACCUAGCACAGUCCUUUGUGCCCAACGCUGAGAGACAAAUGGUAUUUCCAGUAAUAGUUUAUUGAUUUCCAAAUGCACAGGGGCGCUGAGUCCAAACAUCCUGGGAUAGCGGUAAAUCUCUCUUACAAAAUAAUUUACAGUAUGAAAAUGAUAUACUGAAACAUUAACUCAAACGUGUAGUUCCCUUGAAAGAUUGAGUGUUCCCUUGUUUAAUGUAAAGGGAAAGGGGGAAGAUGGCUAAGGAGGGACGGUGACGGCACAGGAAAGCGGGCAGAGGGUACUUGAUUGGUUGGUUCUUCCCACCACUGCAGUGUGGCCUGUCAUUGUAGAAAGACUACCCAGAUUUAACUGCCAUUAAGUAUAAAUCUAUUGUCCCCUCAAGGUCAUAUCAAGCCCAGCAUGGGCUCGGUGGCAUUUUUUUUUUUUUUUUUUUUUGCACCAGUAUACUCACAACUGUCUUAAUUUAUUUUCAUUUUCCUGCUCUGAGGCUUGUUUUGCUGUUGCUGGUGUGAUCUCAGUUCCAAAUGCUACUGUUUUACCUGCGGGCCCCUGGAGGGCAGGAACUGCCUGGGCCUUAUGGCACGUGGAAUGGGUUGGGGUGGGGGCUUCAGGAACACUGCUGGGUACAGGCAAAAUUAAUGAGAUCUAAAGUCUCCCCUAGGGGCCGCCUUUUCUUAGGGCUGGGCUGAGUCCAUCCAUAAUGAGAUUUGUUUAAAUAGAAAAUUCCAGACGUGCUAGGCACACGAGACACCCUGCAACUGAUUUCCUUAUUGAAAAGCAUGUAUUGAACUGCCAUUAUGUGAGUGUGGAGAGUGUUUUCUAGGUGGGGGAGAGGAUUCCUAGGUCCUGCCGCUACUACAAGCUGUGACUCCUGCAGCCGUGCCCUCAGGCCUGAUUGGCGUGGUCAGACUCUUAGGUCACCAAAAUGGCUGGCUCUCCCAAUUUCCUCUGUCAUUAGAUGAGCUGGAGGAGGGCUGGAGUGCAGUUUCCUUCAGGGAUGUCACCUUGGCUCAGUGCUUCAGCAGCUGACAACAUUUGCCAAGGAGUUUCUCUUCUUGUUAGUGUUGUAUAAGGAAGCGCCUAAGCUCCAAUUACCUGGUGACACUUAUAAUCAGGGCUGGCAGAAACCUACACCACAUAAUGAGGAGGCUGCUUUGAAUUUCCUUCAGUUCUUCAAUUGUGUGUGUACGUGUAUGUGCGUAUGCAUGUACAUAGAUACAUACACACAUAUCGUUUGUGUGUGUGCAUACAUGCCCAUACACAUAUCAGGCGUCAGCAAGCAAGUCUCGAUUCGCUGGACUCAGACCCAGCACGUCCUCACAGAGAAGACCUGGCUAGCUUUACUAUAGUACGAAGAUUUCCUUUGCUGCAGCAGUGCAGCAGAAGACAUUCUCCAAUAGUCAGAAGGCAGACACCCUUCAAUCAUCCUUUUCUGACAAGCUCUAUACUCUUGAAGGCCUAGAAACACUUUAUCUAUGGAAGGAGAGGUGGCACCAAAAGGGAAAGGCUCCCCCAACUCCUGGGGCCAGGCUUACGUUAACGACAGGUACUUCAAGCAUCUGCUAAAGUGCAUGAAUAAGGCUACUCGAUGCCAUUUCUGAGCCCAAACUACAGCCACAAGAUGUUGGAAAAGAAUUCGUAAAGUGGGCAGGUCAGAGUGCAGUGGGGGAACCGGAAGCCUUUUUCUCCCCCUGUAUUUUAGAUGCACCAUGGGCCACGGGGUUAAGGAGAGCUGGGUUCAAACUCGGGCGCCAGUAUCUGCUAGCUGUGUAAGUCAAGGCAAGAGACUCUUCCAGUCCAAAUCUGUUUUAUCAUCUGAGGUGGGGGCCUUCUACAGGGCCUGGCUCAUAGUUAGUUCCAACACAGGCCACUUCCCUUCCGGACUGUCAGAGUGGAGACUCCAAGCACUUCUUGGAAGUGCUCUCUGGUUUUAAUGACAUCAAAUCAAAAGGACAAACCCCCUCUCAGCCUCCAGGCACCCAGUAUUUGGAAGGCAGCCAGGGAUGGGUGUUAGGACCCAAUUCAUUCUGCAGACAUUCAGUAGCUGCCUCCCUUGAUGACGCUUCCCUCGGGAUUUCUGCAAAGCCUGCCGUCUGCAUCCUACUCAGGACACACUUUUGAGCACUCUAACUUUUACUGACCUGGCAGGAGGGAAGAAGCUUCAUCAUGUUGGGACGAAAGCCUGAGCAGCACACUCCAGCGUUGGGGGAAGCUGGUGCCACUGCAGGAAGCAAUCCCAGUUCUUACAUUGAUAAAUGCUGCCGGCAGGAGCUCAGGAAGCUGGGCAAAAGUGCCGCAUGGGGCUUAAUGCUUCACUGGUUAAAGUUUUAUCAGGUGCUGAAGACAGCAGGAGCCCAUAAAGCAAAUCUGAAAUCCUUUCUAAGUGAAAGCAAAAGUGCUUUCCUUGAGGAUUACAGAGACAUGAUAAUUUACUGAGUCGGGCUGGCAAGUAUUUUUAUAUUUCCGUUCAUACCCAUUGCAUAAAUGCUUGGGUUUCCCAAAGCCUGAGAAGUAGUAACAUAUGAUCAGGUAUGGAGAGACCAACGGUCUGACCUUCCACUGCUAAGAUAAGGCUACUAUGUAGAGAUGAAAAACUAAUUAUUUGGAAAAGGGAACAGAAGCUUCCAAAUGCUAAAGUCUUCGUAAUCUUCUGAUGUUUAAACUCUUUCAAGAGUGGCCACUGGUCUUUCCUUAAGAGUCGUUUUGUUGGAUAUGCUGCGGGUUGUAAUUAGUGGUGUGCCAAAUUCUCUAGCCUCUGCGGGCAGAUGGGGAAAGCACUGAAAUUGUCUUAGCCAUUUGUUAGCCACCAGUUUGAGAGAAAAAUACCUAAAAAAAAAAAAAAAA
Molecule: long non-coding RNA, 4818 nt
Organism: Rhinolophus ferrumequinum (greater horseshoe bat)
Lineage: Eukaryota; Metazoa; Chordata; Mammalia; Chiroptera; Rhinolophidae
Exons: 2
Source: RefSeq, a predicted model, not a curated record